RNAcentral lists this ribosomal RNA (497 nucleotides) under uncultured bacterium. RNAcentral's name for it is "partial 16S ribosomal RNA". It matches the Rfam family "Bacterial small subunit ribosomal RNA", at positions 28 to 507 of the family's 1533-position model. The record is from RNAcentral.
GAUGAACGCUGGCGGCGUGCCUAAUACAUGCAAGUCGAGCGAACAGACGAGGAGCUUGCUCCUUUGACGUUAGCGGCGGACGGGUGAGUAACACGUAGGUAACCUACCUAUAAGACUGGGAUAACUUCGGGAAACCGGAGCUAAUACCGGAUAAUAUUUCGAACCGCAUGGUUCGAUAGUGAAAGAUGGCUUUGCUAUCACUUAUAGAUGGACCUGCGCCGUAUUAGCUAGUUGGUAAGGUAACGGCUUACCAAGGCAACGAUACGUAGCCGACCUGAGAGGGUGAUCGGCCACACUGGAACUGAGACACGGUCCAGACUCCUACGGGAGGCAGCAGUAGGGAAUCUUCCGCAAUGGGCGAAAGCCUGACGGAGCAACGCCGCGUGAGUGAUGAAGGUCUUCGGAUCGUAAAACUCUGUUAUUAGGGAAGAACAAACGUGUAAGUAACUGUGCACGUAUUGACGGUACCUAAUCAGAAAGCCACGGCUAACUACGUG